AGGUCAAGCAAACAGUUUUGAGGAGCAA
RNAcentral lists this non-coding RNA (28 nucleotides) under Mus musculus (house mouse). The record is from RNAcentral. Lineage: Eukaryota; Metazoa; Chordata; Mammalia; Rodentia; Muridae.